AAAAAAAAGAAAAAAAAAACAGAUUGCAAUAUAGAAAACCUAGUUUACAAUAGCAACAAACCCAAUUUUCUAGUAGCAGAAAACAAAUUAUGCAGUGGCAGUACCUACUCAAUACAUUAAAUUUCUUGCAACCUGUACAGUAGGGAAUAUAACUUCAUAGUUGUUGUUGCAUAUAUAUUUGAAGUGGGGAGAAAUAUAAAAAUCACAUCUAUUGGUCUAUCAGGAGACAUGUUAAGGGUCCCAUAAAGGUGCUUUUGUUCCUAUUCUGCUUCCUCUUUUUCAAUUUUUUACUUCUUUGUUCCACUAACGCUAUUUUGCACUAACUAUAUACUUGAAUAGUAUAUUGAAUUGAUUUAUUUCUUACAAAAAAAUGGCUUUUAAGCUUGCGGCUUUGCGCAUAAAGUUAUUGAAGAAUAAGAGAAGCACAGGUGAAACAACUGGAAAGGGAAUUGUCUUAAUUGGUUGAGAUUGGCCAGGACCAGAUUGCCAUAAUUCGGUUAUGCAGAAAGAUUUGUAUUACAGUAGGAAAGCAGACAAUCUUUAAGAACUAACAUUGAAAAUGAUCCAGUUAGUGUCAGUAAUGCUCCUUCAUUAUCUUCACCUGCUUCAAAUGUUGUUGAGGAACAAAGAUGAUUUUUGAGGGCUCACAUUGAUAAUGAGUCAUUUGGUGCUAUUAAUGAUCGCUCACAAUCUUCGCUUCCUCCAUCUUCUGCUACUGGAGUCAAUAAUCAUUUUGAUAGAAAUCCUUGUCAACUUGAGAUUGAGACAAGUGGAAGAAGUUCAAUGAAGUUUGGAGGACGUUUGGCUAGUGGUAGGGGAUUGUACAAAGGCAUUGAUCUUGAUAAGUUGACAAAUGAAAGAAGGACAAGUUGAUUAUCUUCAUACCUACAGGAAAAUAUUUUCGACCAAGUGGUGAACAUGAAAGAAAGUUAGCAUCAUGGUUAGGAUAUUAUGCAAGAUCUUAUGGUCCACCUAAAGAGCCUUGGAAUGCUGUUGAAGCUCGAUAUCGUACUCAUUUAUGGAGUAUGAUUUAGGAUUACUUUGAUGUAAGUCCUGAGAGUCCAGAAAAAUGGAAGAAGCUUGAGGAAAUGCAAAAGGUGAAGCCUGACACGGCUGAGAUAAAAAAAGCUAAGUUUGAAUUCUAUUGUUUCUAUGAGAUGAAAAUAUUAUAUCGCAAAUGGAAAUACAAGCCACACCUUAAGUAUUUGAAGUACUCAAGUGAUGAUGAACGACUGUAACAUGUUCCUGAAGGAUUGACUGUGGAUACUUAGAAGGAAAUGUUCAAAGUUUUUGCUAAUGAGGACUUUCAGGUACUUUUUAAUUACUUUUUCUAUUAUGGUAAAAAAUAAAUAUUUUUUUAGCAUCAAUAUCAUGUAGGCCUUAUGUUCCACCAAUACAAAUAAUCAUGCUCGUCAAAGAAUUAUUGCUUCAACUGGUCCCACUCCUUUUGUGCAAGUAGAGUAUGAUAUGGUAAACUAUAUAAAAAAAAAAAUUACUAUUUACUCAUAGCUAUUUCUUUUCUUUAGUUAUAUUAUGUUAUAUAAUGCGUGGUUAAUAUAAUUAAUACUAUAGAUGGAUGAGGAGAUUGGUGAAGUAUCAUAUGCUUCUGAAGUUUAGAUGGCUACACAUGGGUUCUUGGAUGAGCAAGGC
This 1650-nucleotide unclassified non-coding RNA is filed under the name Hevea brasiliensis (rubber tree). The record is from RNAcentral. Lineage: Eukaryota; Viridiplantae; Streptophyta; Magnoliopsida; Malpighiales; Euphorbiaceae.